ACUCCUACGGGAGGCAGCAGUGGGGAAUAUUGGACAAUGGGCGCAAGCCUGAUCCAGCCAUACCGCGUGGGUGAAGAAGGCCUUCGGGUUGUAAAGCCCUUUUGUUGGGAAAGAAAUCCAGCCGGUUAAUACCUGGUUGGGAUGACGGUACCCAAAGAAUAAGCACCGGCUAACUUCGUGCCAGCAGCCGCGGUAAUACGAAGGGUGCAAGCGUUACUCGGAAUUACUGGGCGUAAAGCGUGCGUAGGUGGUUGUUUAAGUCUGUUGUGAAAGCCCUGGGCUCAACCUGGGAACUGCAGUGGAAACUGGACAACUAGAGUGUGGUAGAGGGUAGCGGAAUUCCCGGUGUAGCAGUGAAAUGCGUAGAGAUCGGGAGGAACAUCCAUGGCGAAGGCAGCUACCUGGACCAACACUGACACUGAGGCACGAAAGCGUGGGGAGCAAACAGGAUUAGAUACCCUGGUAGUCCACGCCCUAAACGAUGCGAACUGGAUGUUGGGUGCAAUUUGGCACGCAGUAUCGAAGCUAACGCGUUAAGUUCGCCGCCUG
This 549-nucleotide ribosomal RNA is filed under the name bacterium btn 9b-3. Its description in RNAcentral is "bacterial SSU rRNA". It matches the Rfam family "Bacterial small subunit ribosomal RNA", at positions 335 to 875 of the family's 1533-position model. The record is from RNAcentral.